GACGAACGCUGGCGGCGUGCUUAACACAUGCAAGUCGAACGAAGUGGCGCACGGGUGAGUAACGCGUAAUCACCCUGCCCUUCAGAGGGGGACAACCGUUGGACACGACCUCUAAUCCCGCCUAUUGACGCAGGAGUUUGCUUCUGAUUAGGUAGGUGGAGGGGUAACGGCCCACCAAGGCGAUGAUCAGUAGCCGGUCUGAGGGGAGGAAUGGGCAAAUUGGGAAUUGGACACCGCCCAGGCUUCUACGGGAGGCAGCAGUGGGGAAUUGUCCGGAAUUGACGAAAGUCUGACGGAGCAACGCCGCGGGAGUGAUGACGGCCGUCGGGUUGUAAAGAUCUGUUAAUCGGGACGCGGUACCGGAAUAGAAAGCCACGGCUAACUACGUGCCAGCAGCCGCGGUAAUUC
This 408-nucleotide ribosomal RNA is filed under the name uncultured bacterium. RNAcentral's name for it is "partial 16S ribosomal RNA". It matches the Rfam family "Bacterial small subunit ribosomal RNA", at positions 28 to 526 of the family's 1533-position model. The record is from RNAcentral.